UUGGAGUUCAUUGUUCAGUCGGCCGGUGAAUUUGACCCCUUCAUAUUCGAAUGCAAAACCGUUUAAAUGAGGUUAUUUUUGUGAAAAGAAUACACUGAACUGAGAAUACCAAAGUAUCUUUGCAUUGUAGUCGAAUACUCAAGCUUACUAUUUUGGAAUUUCAAAUUUGAAUUUUGAAAUGCCACUGUGAUUAGAACCAUGGCGCACCGAUUACUCCGUUCAAACCUAUCAAAGAUAAACAGACUGACAUCAGUGAAAAAGUCUGAAUCCGUUGCAGUGAAACAAACUUUUGAGUAUUUGUUGAUCAUUGACUUUGAAGCUACUUGUCAAAAGGACGAGGCAUUAAAACCACAAGAGAUUAUAGAAUUUCCAUGUUUAGCUGUUUCCACCACAACCUGGGAAGUGAAGGAUGUAUUUCACGAAUACAUUAGGCCUCAGGUUCACCCUGUGCUAACUACAUACUGUACAAAGCUCACUGGUAUCAUACAAGAGAUGACUGACCAGAGUCAACAUUUCCCUGAUACAUUUCUCAACUUUCAACGUUGGUUACACAAGUCUGGUUAUUUAGAAAAUGGUAAAAGUACAUUUGUAACUUGUGGUGACUGGGACUUGGGAGUAAUGUUACCUGAGCAAUGUGCGAUUAGCCAAAUUCCUAUUCCGAAAUAUUUCAAUGAAUGGAUUAAUUUGAAGGACACAUUUCGCCAUGCAACCGCGUAUCAUCCAAGAAGUCUUAAGGAUAUGCUAAAACAUCUGAAUUUACCUUUAUGUGGUCACCUGCACUCAGGAAUAGAUGACACUAACAACAUGGCUAGGAUAAUCCAAUUGUUAGGGACCAAAUAUCAGACCGACUUUCGUGUUACUUCGGUAGCACGAUGAUCUAUGCUGGUAUCAUACCCUCAGUGGGCACAACAUUAAGUACAUCGCCGUGUGAAAGAACUGUUUCAAAUGGUUGAGCAAGAUUGCGCAAACUGGAAACUAUCACAGUUGCCUCAGUCCUGAACGGUGGUGCCAGUGUCACCAUUCCAGGAGUAACUGUGAACUCAUUUUUGGAAAUAACGUCUUCAUUUACUUCCAGGGCAUAUACGUCUCACACCCAGCAGUGAAUAUACUGCUACUGUCGCUGCAUACUGAGUAAAAAAUUUGUGUGUCGUCAACGUUAUCGUUUAACAUGGUCAACGUUUCAUCUGCGUUGACUUCCAUUGUCAACAUUACUUGAUGUUGACUAACACCACGACAGAGAUCGCCCAGAUGUUGCUGAAACAUUUUUUAAGGUCAAAAACUAGAAUAAAAAAUAACAAAUUCCAUCAAGCAAAAUACGACUAAAAUUACUUACAACCGGAUCUCUGACAAGACUAAAAUCCUCUAUUAGCGUCUCCCCUGGGAAUACUUUGCAUAAUGGAAAAACAAUAUUUUUGAAUGUAUCAUUCUCUGCUCCUUGGAGUUUACCAGUGUCUUUUAAUUUAUUAUACAAUCUACAACCAAAAAAAAUAAACCGUUCAUCGCAAGGAAAGAAUUAACUUUAACUAGUUAAAAUCGAUAAAAUUUGAGAUUGCUCACCUACGAAUUCUCCAUCUUGUUGGCUCAUCUCCGUGUGUAAUAGUUAAAGUUCCAACGUGUGAGACAUCAGUACGUUUGAGUAAUGCAAGAUCUUCCCGUCUUGGAUGAAAUUCUAAUUUAACCCAUUGAGUCUCACCCGGACCCAAUAACAAUUCUGUUGGACUAAUUUGCCAACUGGAUACCAUGGCAGGGUAGAGAGCUACGAUAUCGAGGAUUGUUGAACAUUGUUAUAGCGUUGUGAAAGGAUUUAAAAAAAGAUGAUAGUGACCCCUUAUCUACCUACCUUUUGGUGUUAGCUUCACGACAGCAUAUGAACACAAAUCUCCGGCAUUUUGUAGUUUGAUUCUUGCACUUAAUUUUCCACUUGCGUUCAUGUGACCGAGGGAGAGCCACAUCAGCCCUCCCGUAUCUUUAAAUGCUUGCAAAAUUUCAACCUUGCCAAUACCUCCGUAUCCAAAUAAGUAUAUCUUGAAAAGAAUGAAUCAAUUGAGCAUUGUGAAGUAAUAAAAAUGAACUAAAAUCAGG
Athalia rosae (coleseed sawfly) is the source of this 2082-nucleotide RNA transcript. It is a transcript of the gene named ERI1 exoribonuclease 3, with no coding region annotated. NCBI's taxonomy places the organism in Eukaryota, Metazoa, Arthropoda, Insecta, Hymenoptera, Athaliidae. The transcript is spliced from 3 exons. The record is from RefSeq and is a predicted model, not a curated record.